AGGCCGCUUUGCCGAGAAGGUGCUCGGUCCCGACGAGCUGCGUGUCUAUCACGCACGCAACGCUCGUUCGGCCGCGCGCGGGCUC
This 85-nucleotide transfer RNA is filed under the name Paraburkholderia kirstenboschensis. RNAcentral describes it as "tRNA-Gly". Lineage: Bacteria; Pseudomonadati; Pseudomonadota; Betaproteobacteria; Burkholderiales; Burkholderiaceae. The record is from RNAcentral.